AACUGGAUCAAGUUGCAGCCUGUUAUGACACCUUAAUAUAAGUAGAGUUGCCUGGAAACUUCUCUCUUUAUUGAACAAGCGUCAAAAAUGACAAUACAUCAAUUGGAAGUAUGCACAACUUGUCAACUGGCAGUUACAUGCAAAAUAACAAAAGACAAACAAACGGCAGCACCUGAUAGGUCAAGGAUUUUUAUCAUACAUCGUGAGUUCUCGGAACAAUAAGCGAUCUAUGGUUUCUGCUGAUGGGCAAGUGAAUAUAAACCUCAUGAACAUCUUGUUUGUAAACCUCGCCCCUAUCUCUAUCUAUGGCAUAGCAUACAUAAAUAGUGUCAAUCACAUUGUCCAGCACACGGACAAAGAAGCCCAGAACCACUAUCAAAAGCAUCCAUGCAAGAAAAGAUACAAGAUAUGAGUCAACCCCAAGAUUGAUCGCACCCUUCAAGAUGGCACAAACCACAAUUGCAUAUAUUGCUGAGAGGACGAAGGCAAUUCCAGCCAACAAACGAGAUGAGACAGUCUCCACAAAAACAGCAGAGAGCAGAUUGCGUUUUAAGAGCUCAUAUGUCAUCCUUGCAGAGAUGCAGUACGCUUUACCAGUUAUUGCUGCGAAGUUGAUUGUGAACUUGUUAAGAAAAUCUACUGCUGACAGUAAUGCAUUAACACAACACCGCAAUAUAAGGUUCACCAUUCCAGGAACAUCCUCUUGUCUUGCGCUAUCAACAGCAGCACGCACCGUACGAACAACACAAAUAAGUAGUCCAGAUAGGCAUACAGUUCCAGAGGAGGGGCCAAAUGCAUUUCUGAAAGUAUUCAGAAGGCACAUAUGAAAAAUAUGAACUUGUCAUGAUUAUGAUUGUAUAUCUCCAAGUGUGCAUAGAAAUACUGCUAUCAAGGAUGAUAUAUUGUCUGAAAUGAAAAAAGGUUACAAAGUGGUAACAAAGAACUAAAGUUAGACCACUCUAAAUAAUAAAAACAAAUGCAACAGUAUCCAAUAUGUCUGUCCUUAGACCUCAACUUCAAGAGAAUGAAAAUGCAAAGAAAAGCUAUAAAGAUAAGCACCCGUUCAGGUGCAAAAUAAAAACUUAUUGUUCUCUGGGGAGCUAGCAAAUGUAAUUAUGUACAAAUACGUAAUCUUACUUUAACCACCACUGCUUUGCAUAAUAGUUAUCCUGCCCCUUAUCACAUCACUUAGCUUCCUGUUAAGAAAAGGCAUGUUUAGAACAUAAAUGUAAGUUCAUUUCCAGGACAGAAUACCUUAAGCAUAUUAGACGUGUCUGGUUAUUGGUAUGGCCUAUGAAGUCAGUAUGCAGAGACACCACUUAAUUGGCAUUCUCUCAAGCUUAGUUUUCCGGAUAAUACUUUGGGUUGAUACUCGGUACAUCUGUCUCCAAUACAUUAAUAUUGGAGAGGAAAUACAUGUGCCUAAGUCAACAAAAAUCUAAAACUCCUUCGCAUACUUUGUCAAGUUAUGUGGUAGCACUAUCACAAAAAUUCAUUCAAAUUCUAACUGAACUCUAUCAUAUUCACCUCCAGAUGAUAUCUUAUUAUCAUUAAGCACGGUAAACAAAUUAUUAUGAGAAGAUAAAUAUCGAUAUAAUAGGGCCUUUUGAAAAUUGAAAGUGCUCAAAAUAUUUAAUAAGCAAUCAAAACCACCCAACCUGUGCUCUCUAAUAGAGGGCCAUCCUACAUGCUUGUCAUGAUCAGCAAUAUAUGGCACAAAACAAUCAAAUGGCAAAUCUACAAAUUCAAAAAAAUUGAGGAUGUUGAUGAGAGUAGAAGGUAUCAGGUCUUGUGCCAAAGCAGAUCCAAAGGACAAUAAAUGUACUACAUAGGGUAAUGGAGUUGAAGCUUAGAACCAAGCAUGACACCAUCAAAACCAUUAAACCAACAGAUCUGUUGACAAGCAAACAGAAAAUUGACAAUUUGUUAUGCAUCCAAAGAAAUACUCAAAUGCAGAAAAAUAAAGAGUGGAAAAAUGAGGUCAGAAUUAUAGAGAGAACAAUUGCAAUGUGAAAAGUUAUCUAAUUGAGGGUGCAAUCUUGACUCCAACUACAAUGCAAAAGCUCAAAGUUCUUCGAUUGGAUAUUUCAUUGAAAUCAAUGAAAACCACCACAAUAACCACUUAGCUUAUUAAGAACUCAUUACACCUUCAAUGCUAAGCAGUAAGUAGCAUUAGACAAAGGUAGACCACAUAAUUGAUUUUGGAAAUAAACUUUCAUAAGAAUAUGGUGCAAUCAGCAAGUGCUUAAAAAGAACAUAUCAACUUGUAGAAGAGCGCCCACUACUGUAGGAUCUUGAUGUUAAGGCAAAAUUUACAAGGACCUUAUGAUGGCAGCUCAUGAUAUUAUCUAUCAGUUUAAAAAUACUUAGCACCAUUUGGAGAAAAUUAUACUGAUAUCCAUAGUCCACGUGGUAUUUACUCAAAGCAAUUUAUGAAUACUAGGACAUCCAAAAGAGAAUAGUUAGGCAUGCAUCAGUUGCCAUAUGUUACUGUUUUUGACAAUGACAUACCUUAACCAACUGCAAAAAAUUCGGACAACUAUACAUCCAAAGUUCUAUAAUCCCAAAGUAUACUCCUAAAAAUCUAAAAAAAGAAUAAAAUGAACUAUUAACAAUAUACCCAAAAACAUUAGGUAAGAAUGCAUAUGUUGUACUACACAAACAAGCAAUUUCUGAAAAUCACCUCAAAGAACUUCUAAUACUUCGCUUAGGAGCUGAAUCCUCCUUCGUGAAGUACCACUGAGCAAUAGUCCCACUGAUCACAUAAACCUGAGCUUCGAUCAUUGCAGUCAAAGACCACAGCAUUGUAAGAAUUGCCAAUGCAUAGUACGCAGGCACCCAACUAUCCUGCUUCCAAACACAAGCAUACCCAGCACUGGAUUCCUUUGGCACAAUUUUCCCAUUAUGCCUUGAAAACACCAAAAACACUAUAAUUGGAGCAUAAUAAACCACUAAACAAAGUGUCAAUAACGGUAACGCCACAAAUAAGCCCAAAUUCUUAGAAAGUGCAUCGGAGGCAACCCCAAUUAUCAUCACAGUCAACUCAAUUCUAUGCCAAUUAACCACAAAAAUCCACACAAUGACCCCAAUAACCAAGAAGACAAAAACCAGCACCAAAAUCCUAUAAACCAACGGGAAUACAUCGCUGCAAGAAGAGCUAACUGUGCAGGCAACGAACCAAUAAACAUUGAAAAAGAUGGGAAUAACGACAAAGAAGGGAAGCGAGAUGUACACAAUCUGCUUGGUGUAAUGAUUGAGCAACAAAAGCAAAAGAAAGCAAAUGGGUGCACUCAAGAUCAAAGUAAUUACAAGACUCCAUAUCAAAGCUUUCCAAACACCAGAAUUCGACGAACUCAAAAGGUAAUAAUACACAUGAGUUUCGAAAAAACCAUCAGUGGACGAAGACAACGAGUCCUUGACGCAAGAAGUUGAGUUGAAGUCGUAUGUAUAGGAGGAAAGCCUGGAGUAAUUUUGGUUUCUGUGGAAAAUAGAGAAGAUUCCAAAAGCGAAAGUGCAAAUAACAAAGAAAGCAAAGAGAAUGAGAAAGGGAAGGUCCUUGAAGGGUCUGAUACCAUAAUUGUAAGAGAUCUGUAGGUACUGGUUAGGGUCGGAUUCAUCUGGGAGGGGUUGGGUGGCUUCUUCGAUUGGAGGAGGGGAAGGAGGAGGAAGAGAAGGAGAGAAAGUGGGUUUGGAGAGGAGAGGCUCUGAGGGGGAAGAUGAGUCGAAGAAAGAAUUGGAUUUGUCGGUUUCCUCGUUGCUGCCCAUUAGAGGGAAUAGGGUAGACGGAGGUGGAGGUGAUAGCGGUGGCGGUGGUGGUAGUGGGGGUCGGGGUGGUGAUUAUGGUGGCGACAGGGGUGGGAGCUUCUUGGCGGUGGGCUGUGGUUGACUGACAACUCAGCUGGUAUGAUGGUCGGUUUUUACACAGUGCAAAUGAUGACUAUUUUGGAGUGCGUACUCAUGACUGAAGAGACCAUAGU
Molecule: unclassified non-coding RNA, 3977 nt
Filed under: Hevea brasiliensis (rubber tree)
Lineage: Eukaryota; Viridiplantae; Streptophyta; Magnoliopsida; Malpighiales; Euphorbiaceae
Source: RNAcentral